GGACCAAGGAGUUUAGCGUGUACGCGAGUCAUUGGGUGCAAAACCUAAAGGCGGAAUGAAAGUAAAGGAAACUCGCUUUCUGAGGGAGGAUGGGUGUCCUGCCGUAUUCCGGCGGCGCCCCGCACUCCCGGGGCGUCUCUUUCUCAUUACGAGUGGAGGCGCACCUAUAGCGUACACGCUGAUACCCGAAAGAUGGUGAACUAUGCCUGGCCAGGACGAAGCCAGGGGAAACCCUGGUGGAGGUCCGCAGCGAUUCUGACGUGCAAAUCGAUCGUCGGAGCUGGGUAUAGGGGCGAAAGACCAAUCGAACCAUCUAGUAGCUGGUUCCCUCUGAAGUUUCCCUCAGGAUAGCUUGCGCUCGGUUGAGACGAGUCUCAUCCGGUAGAGCGAAUGAUUAGAGGCCUUGGGGUCGAAACGACCUCAACCUAUUCUCAAACUCCAAAUAGAUGAGAUCCCCGGCUUGCUUGAAAGUGAAGCCGGGACUCGGAUCAGAGUGCCAAGUGGGCCAAUUUUGGUAAGCAGAACUGGCGCUGUGGGAUGAACCAAACGCGGAGUUAAGGCGCCUGAAUCGACGCUCAUGUGAAACCAUGAAAGGCGUUGGUUGCUUAAGACAGCAGGACGGUGGCCAUGGAAGUCGGAA
This 640-nucleotide ribosomal RNA is filed under the name Prostemma hilgendorfii. Its description in RNAcentral is "partial large subunit ribosomal RNA". It matches the Rfam family "Eukaryotic large subunit ribosomal RNA", at positions 663 to 1266 of the family's 3401-position model. The record is from RNAcentral. Lineage: Eukaryota; Metazoa; Arthropoda; Insecta; Hemiptera; Nabidae.